CCCAGUCGUAUACAGCACGAGCUAUCAAACGCGCGCGUGUUCCAACAACUUUAUAUUUGCGGUCAAAUAAAAGUUUGUUACUGAAAAAUAUAGUGACAUUACACUUUCGCGAGUGCAAACGUUACUUUGCAUAAUUUAAAAUUGGAUUGAAUUUAUUUUUGUUUUUAAAAUUAAGACUAAGAUCACUUUUCUAUUAAGUAAACAGAAACGCACAUAAAACUAUCAUUAGUUUAUGGCAUCAGUAUUAAACUGGAAAUCGUACGAGACAGACGUGUAAAAAGACGUAGUUAUAACAAAUAAAGUGUGAUUAAAAGAGAAAAAAGAGUGUAGUACAGUGAAAAGGUGUUAACUACAGUGAAAUUCAUAGUGAUGUGACAACACCAUGGAUCCUCAAGAAUUAGUCCCUUUAGAAGCGGGUGUUCUGCGAGCCCCGCAGCGUACGCGGCGCCGCGUCACCCCGCGGCCCAGCUGCCAGGGCCCGGUCAGGCUGUGUCGACUGCUCGCGCUCGUCAUCCUACUGCCCAGUCUGUUUAUACUCAUACCACUCUACCUGAGAUACAGGGUGUACUCCAGUCAAAUGUACCCGAUGAGUAUGACAGAUAUGCGGCUGAUAGACAGCAAGAUAUCGCCCACUUGGUGCCAGCGCCAAGUGGUCCGCUCGAACGCGACAUUCAACGCGUUCGUGGUCCCGUCCCAGCCCAGCUUGACGGACCAGCUGGUCCCCGUCUCCAUGACGCGCCAGUUGGAGCUAGAGGACGACAUGAAGGAGUACUGGGGGUUCUAUCUGCUGCGGGGCUCCGCUGUCACCGUGUCUGCUUGUGUCAGGUGGCCAGGAGCGUCCCUCAUCAUGAUCAAAGGCUACAAGCACCUCCAGAACUGCGCAUACAUAGGCGACGACUCCUCUGAGGAGCUAGAUGAGCUGCUGGACGCCCACGCACUAGGACUGCUGUCCAACGACACCCUGCUGGAGAAGAUACGCGAGCUGAAGAAGGUGGACGGGAAGGCUAAUGAUCCAGAAACCAUGAAGCGUCACAAAGCCGGAGUCAAAUUCCACGAUCCGAGCAUCAAAGCCAACGCCACGUCGCCUGACCCUGUCCCGGCUGCUGACGUCACCGACCAUGAUCCACAGGAACUCAAGCAGAUCCUGGAACAUCUCCACGCCCUGCGCCAAGCUCAGAAGGACGAGUCAUUGAAGUACUACCAGCCGCCGUCACAUCUCAUGUCUCUGCCCGCCCUGCAUCGGCACAGGGACACUAACGUCGACCGCGACGAAAGGAGGUGGCUGUCUUUUAAAGAUAUCGACGGUAACAGCGAACAGAACAACAAUAAAAGGAAGAACAAUACACAAAAAAUAAAUGUAAAAACAUAUAAUAGUGAAAAGGAAAUCAACGAUAUAAACAGAAGACCUAAAAUCCCAGUAACAGAUAAUAACAGUAACAACAUUUUAAUAGUCAACAAACAAUUACAAAAUAUGACGAUUGAAGAUGUAAAAGAAAACAGGAAAGAAAACGCUGGGAUUAAAACAGAUGAGAAAAGUGUGAAUCUAGAAAUUGUGGCACCUAAAACGGAAGACGGAAAUAAAAAAUCAGAGAUUGUCGAGUCUAAAAGGAACGAAACAAAUGACAACCAAGAUAUACUGCCCAAAGCAGACGAAAGACUUGAAAAUUCGGAUAUUCUACUGCCUAAAGUGCACGUAAGAAAUGAAGCUUCAGAUAUUGGACUGCUUAAGACGGAUGACAAAAAUGGGACUCCAGAUAUUGUAGUGGCUAAAACUGAAGAUACAAAUGAUAAUUCCAAAGUUGUUGUGACUGAAACAAACUAUACACCUGCAGGCAUUGCUGGUGAAGUGAUAGAUAAUGGAAAUGAGGCAAGCCAAUCAGGCGACGCUACUUCUAAAGAAGUAUUCGAAGACGUCCUACAAAAGCUGCAAGCUCUGGGAGACAGAGGCAAGCGAGUGCUGGUGAGGCUGCAUGAGACCAUGGGGGUCAAAUACCAGGAGACGAAGUCUCACGAACGCAUAAUGUCAGCAGUGCGCGGCAGCGACGAGGAGCUGGACAGACUGCGACAGGUGCUGGUGGAAGCCAUCGACGAGGAGAAAUCGAGGACAACGAGACAGCAAAAACGCAAAGAUGCUCGGAACGAAGCUCGCGCCAAAAGAGAGCUGUUCCUAGGUCAGGCUGACCUUGAGAAGGAGCUCAACGAAGAUGACGAGCCCAGGAACUACGCUGCUGAAGAGGAUCUAGAACCUGACGGCUUCGCGGAGCACCACGUUCACCUCAACGAGACAACAGCAUUCGACAUGAGCAACUCUGAGUUUUGGUCAUCCUUCUCCAGCAGCGAGGAGGCGCUACUGGAGUGUGAGGGGCUCAUCCUCAACCUGCCCCUGACGCCACAUUCAUCAUGUCACAAAGAAGCAACUGAUGGGGAUACUAUUGCUGCUGCUAGGGCUAACGCCUUGACUUACAGGGUACCAGCAAACGGCUACUACUUCUUCGUGUUCAACUCAGAGAACGAAGUGCAGAAGAACUACAUCCGCGCGAGGUUCGACCUUCAGAAGACCAGAUAUGAUGUAGCACGGACCACGCUGAGGGAAUGCACCAACAGCACAGAUAGAUGUGACCUCACACUGGAUAUCUUCUCUAGCCAGAAGCCAAAAGGUGAGUCUCGUCUAGCUGAAGCUGAACCUAAUACUUCGACCUUCAGAAGAACGGAUAAAUGAUACGGCGCGAUCCUCGCUGCGGGAGUAUGCCAACAGCAUAGAUAGGUGUUAUGUGAUCUGACACAAGAUCUCUUCUCUGGUCAAACAGUGGUACUAGAGGUGCCUCUGCGCAACAAUGACUCGUUAUGGAACGAACAGUUCGUGAUCAUCAGCGAAUGCGAACCCAGGACCUCCAUAUACUUGUUCUGCGUCAUCUCCGUACCUAUACUCAUACUGAUCUUCGC
RNAcentral lists this unclassified non-coding RNA (2943 nucleotides) under Pectinophora gossypiella (pink bollworm). RNAcentral's name for it is "uncharacterized LOC126377520". Lineage: Eukaryota; Metazoa; Arthropoda; Insecta; Lepidoptera; Gelechiidae. The record is from RNAcentral.